RNAcentral lists this long non-coding RNA (14775 nucleotides) under Sorghum bicolor (sorghum). Its description in RNAcentral is "long non-coding RNA (SBIC_LNC006277)". The stretch from base 4156 to 4262 matches the Rfam family "Plant small nucleolar RNA R71". Lineage: Eukaryota; Viridiplantae; Streptophyta; Magnoliopsida; Poales; Poaceae. The record is from RNAcentral.
ACUCGUCCCUAAGCAAUGAUAAUCUCAUGGAUGGAUCAGAAGUUGUCGUAAUGCCUUUAAAAGUUGAUGGUACACAUGCUUAUAAACAAGAUCCUAUCCCUAAGUUAGAGUAAACUGUCAAGAAUUAAAACUUACUUACUUUACCUUUCUCCAUGGGACUUGUAACCGUCACUUCUGUCUUGAGUAGUUAAAAGAUAGAACAGUCUAGUCAAGUGCCAUGUCUCUUAUUCUUGAUCAGCUAUAGCUCUGGAGUUUUUGCAGAUUUUCAAAUAAAACUCAGAGAUUCCUUGUAUGACUCUCUCAGAUCUCUCCUUUGUCGUAUUUUUGGAUCCUUACCAAGGCAUUGAUGGUAUAUUCCUUCUCUCAAAAUAUGUAGUAUUUGUGGUAUAAAGCAUAGUGACAUUGCCUUCUCUCUCACCCUACUCUAACAAGGCUUUUGAUAUCUGGAGCUCAUAGGUGGGAGAUAAAGUAUACAUACUUACAAGACAUUUAUUGCAUAGUCAAAUCAUGGAUCCAAAGAAACAAGUCAAGAAAUCAAAUCAAGAUGUGCAUGUGUGGCGAAUGAAUGGUGUAUGGUGAUGAUGGUGAUAACAAUGGUGAAAGUCUAAUUCUACUUUUGCUCUUUUGAGGGGAUACAUAUCUUUCUUGCUUUUUGAAACUUUUUUAGGAGAAUGAGAUGCUCUAUAUUUUCUUUUUCUUUCCUCUCAGGUGGGUAUUUUGUACCCCUAAUUCUACUGUCGGACACUUGUCCAUUUUUACCUCUCGUCUUACUUUUUCUUUUCUUUCGAGGUUCCGGGCACUUGCCCCUUUUUAUUUCCUCGUAUCUCUCUUUUUUUAGAGCACUCAUCUCUUGAAAUAAUAUAGCAAGUGGUAGUAACCAAGAUAACUUGAGCAUUUAUUUCACACGGGAAAAACAGAAAUGUUUUUGGCUAUUCUCUCCUAGAUUAGGAGUAGAAUAUUUUUGGGUGGUUCUGGAGAUGGAAAUGGGUGGAUAUAUGUGGAUGCGUACUUCCGGAGUAGAAGCAGCAUGUAUGAGUGAAUGUGCAAGUGAAUCUUGAUUUAACCACAUGACAAACUCCUAAGGGUCUACACAGCUUGACCACACUCAAUGCUCAUAAGCAGUAAAAAGUAAAUGUGUGGCUUAAAGUCUAGCAAGCAUGUAUAUAUGGCUGUGGUAGGAAUUUAAACUCUCAUCAUACAGGAACUCAUCAUGUGUUAAAGAUUUUUAAAGAUAAAAUUCUCUAGAAUUCUAGCAUCUCUAGGAACAGAUAAACAGCAGCUCAACCUUCCCAUAUCAUAUCCGUUAACAACUUAGACUUCAGAUCAAGUUUUCUUCCCACAAGUUUAGGUUUAGAGCAAGCUUUAAAUUAUAACAGUUAUGUCUAAACUUGAGAGAGAACUCCAAAUUUGAAAAUUAGGCAGAGCAACUACUCAUCAUAUCCAUGCUAGAGUUUUAUUAUUAAGAUUUAGUUUAGCAUAGCUACUUUAUUUAUUUAUUAAACACACUAAGCAAAAGAUAUAUAUAUAUAAGGAUAAAAUCUUUAUUUGGUUUUUCAUAGUUAUGUAUAUUUAUAUAGUAUAAGUAUAAAGAUAGAUAGAAAUACUUAGCGAGAUAAAUGGGGGUGCUCUCCCCCAAGCUGAAUUUUGACGUAAUUUCUUCUGAUGUAGCUAGCAGGUGGCAGAGGUGUAUUUGAAAGUCGGCAAUAUCCUGACAGCGAUUAGAAUGUCCUCCGUCUGCUAGUCUUCUUGAUUAUUAAAUUUUGUGGAGCUCAAAUAGACAACAAAGCUUUGUGGAACUGAUUAGGUGUUAGCAUAAAUAUCUAGCCUUCAUCAUGUUGAGCCUCCUUAAUAAAUGUUACUCUCUAUUUUUUAUAUUUUUGUUUUAUAAAGCAGAAAAAUAUUUAUUUUAUUUUUAUGCCACCACAAUGAAUGUACUUAUGGGUUUUAUGCCACUCGUAUACUCACAUGGGGCUUACUAUUUUUAACAUUUUUAUUUUAUUUUUAGGAUAGUAUGAACAUAAUUAACUAAGUAAACUACUUUAGAUAUUUGAAGGGAAAAGGAUAACUAUAAAGUUUACCUCUUGACAAGGCGUUCGGUGUUUUUAAGUCCUCCGAACGGGACUCUCCGUUUUAUCAGUCGUCCUGGGAUUUGUUGGAUGGCGUAGUCGGUGCUCCCGGCGGCGCCUCUUCUUCAUGUAUAGUUAUCUUUUCUUUCCACACCUGACUCGGUGCUACGGUCUCCUCAGGAUAAUCUUGUUUAAGUUGUAUGUCUUCAGACCUUACUACUCCUUCGUAGUCUGCCCAUGAUGAUUUGCCUCUUCUGGUUGCGGUUACGUCGUCUUCUUCUUGUCCUGACCUGCUUAGAGUCUUCAAUGAUAUAGUUAGAGUCAGUAAAAUAGCGGCGUACCUUCUCUUAGGGGAAGUGCAUAUGGACUUCUCCAGUUCCAAUGUAGAUGAUUGCUUUAACGGAGCUGAGGAACGGUCUUCCAAGGAUGACGGGUGGAUCAUAUUCGUCUUCUCCCAUGUCAAUAACCUGAAAGUCUGUGUAGACAAAAUGAUCAUCUAUUUUGACAGGGACAUUAGUUACUAUACCUUUAACCUCUCGAAAUGUCUGAUCUGCCAUCUAGAGCUGAAUGUAUGUUGGUUUUAGGGGCAUGGUUCCGAAAAAGAGCCGAUAGGUGACUGCGGCCAUUAUGUUGAUGCCCGAUCCGGUGUCACAAAACAUCUUGUAGAAGUUGUAUCCAUUUAUGGAGCAAUAGAUGCUUGGCAUUCCUAGGUCGUCCUUCUUGGUCAGAAACAGUGACUUAAGUCGAUGGUCUUGUCCUUCAUGAACUGCAGUGACCAUCUUAGCUGACUUAGUCCACACUUGCUUGUUCCUGUUCCUCCUGUUGGUCCUCUUCCUCAGUUUUUGUUGGGAUUGCUUUGGGAUUUGUGUAGUCUUGUUCUUAAAGGAAAAUGUCUCCUUCCUCCCUUUGAUGUAGAAACUGAUCUUUACAACACUAGCAUAGAUGACAGCUCCCGAGGUGUUUAAGAAUGGCCUCCCUAAGAUGAUGGGUGGCCUCUCAUCAUUACUGGUCUCUAUCACCACGAAGUCUGCUGGGGCAUACAAGGUACCAACUCGGACAUAGAGGUUCUUCAAUAUUCCCUUUGGGAAACUUAACGCCUGAUCUGCAAACUGUAAACACAUGGUUGUUUCUAAUAAAGGAUAUGUAAAGAAUUUUUCAUAGAGUACCCUGGGCAUAAUGUUGACGCUGGAGCCAAAGUCGCAGAGUGUUUCUAGGAAGUCCACCAUGCCGAUGGAGAUCGGGAUGACGGGGCGUCCUAGAUCGCCUCUCUUGACCGGCAGAAGGUCAGUAGUAACUUCAGUGGCGGGGUUACUCCAGUAGUUACCUGCAUCAAACAUGUCUACAAGAUUUGUAGAUUCUAAUCCUUCCAGUUGUGAUGGUAUAACGGGGUUAGUAGCAGGAACGGCAACAGCUAUUUGAUUUAACUGAGAUUCAAUCAUUUUAUUAAAGCUAAUUUGAUUCUUGAUGGCAGUAGAGAAAUUAUCCAUUCUAUUAUUUAUAUUUUCUAGCUUUUUAUCAUUAGAUGCCAAUUUAUUAGAUAGGUUAUCCAUUAGCUUUCCUUGAUUAGACACUAACUCUCUCAGAGGUGGAAAAUUAUUAUUAUUACUGUAAGAAUUGUUACCUUGAUAAUUACCUGAGUAGUAGCCUUUGUUGAUUCCAACCUUGAUUUUGCUGAGGACGGUUGUAGUAGUAGUAGUUGUUGUUGUUGAUGUAGUUCACAUCCUCAAGCAUCUCAGGGCAGUGAUUGCCUGAGUGUCCAGUAUCUCCACACUCCUCACAAGUCAUGUGAGAGUCGUAGAUGUGCAUAACUUCUUUCUUAUCUCCAGCUCUAUCAUCGAGCUUCUUCAUGAGCAGGUCUAGCUUUGCAGACAGCAUGUCUACCUCCUUGAGCUGAUGCAUACCUCCACCUUUCUUGCGUGUCUGGGUCCUUUCUUCAUUCCAGCCUUGGUUGGAUACCAUCUUCUCCACAAGAGCUGUGGCUUGUGGUAUGGUGAGUGAUAAGAAUGCUCCUCCAGCUGCAGCAUCCAUGGUUUCUCGAGCACUAUUGCCGAGCUCAUGAUAAAAUGUCUGCAUUAGUAGCCAACUCUCCAUUCCAUGAUGGGGACAUUCUAGGAUGUAGUCUUGGAAGCGCUCCCAUGCUUCUGGAACGAAUUCAUCAUGUUGUUGCUGAAAGCUUGUAAUUUUCCCACAGAGAGCAUUGGUCUUGCCCAUGGGAAAGAACUUAGCUAGAAAGUUCGUUGAGCAGAGUGCCCACGUAGUAUUCUUCUCCUUUCUAGCGUAAAACCACUGCUUCGCUCUCCCUAACAGUGAGAAUGGGAAGAGGCAAAGUAGUAUAGCAUCUUUGGGGACUCCUGAUAUGGUAAAUGUGCUGCAAAUCUCCAGAAAGUGUUGGAGAUGAGCACUAGCAUCUUCAUGUGCUUUCCCACAGAACUGGUUGGAUUGCACCAUGUUGAUAAGUCCAGGCUUGAGCUCAAAGUUGCCAUCGAUCUCUGCAGCAGGUCCAGUACGGAUGUUGUCCGUAGUGGGAGCUGAGAACUCAUGGAUCCAUUUGUUCGCCAUGGCUUCGAAUUCUGAAGACAAGUUCCGGUGAUCUUCUUGAUUGGAUGAAACUUCUUGCUGAAGUGUUGAUGAUCUCUUCUUGAGCUUGGCUCUUGUUUUUCUGAAUAAUGCUUCGGGAUUGUCAACAAAAUUUCCUGGAACAUGUCUUCUAUUCAUACAUUACCCUGCAUAAGAUAAAAUAGAAAAAUAUCGGGGUAAAACUGUAUGAGAGAAUUGAUAAGCUCAAUCAUUUUAGUGAUGCGAAUGAUGACUCAAAACUCUAUAUUCAUUCCUGAUUAGUAAUCAACCUUCCCCGGCAAUGGCGCCAAAAAUGCUUGUUGGGUAUUCUUAACAUCAUUACCAAAAGUAGACUUAGUUUUCUAAUUCUGAUAACGGUGCCAAAAAUGCCAAACCUAUCCCUCAUACCACUUAAGCCAAGUUGUCAUCCCCAGCAUGAUAUGAGAGAUGUGGUAUUGAAAUAUGCAAUUUCUCAUCUAAAUAAAUAAUCAAAUGGGAUCUGCAAGCACACAGAUUAAUACCGAUGUAGCAUUUUAACCGGGAAGUAUUCUAGGUAUCGUUAUUUAUAUUUUUACCACUGGGAAGGGAUUACUAAUCAUCAGUGUUGAUUAUAGAAUGGAAUAUAGAAUUGAGUAUCUAUCAUUGCAUGUAUAAUUGAGAACAUUUAUCUAACUCUUUCAUACAGGGAUAAGUGUCACAUAAAGGAUACAUAAAGUAAUGAAUAGUGACAAAGAUAAUUAAUCUGAUCAGAAUAACUUAGCCACAUAUAAAUAUGAUAAGCACCUCAAUUAGAUAUUCUAGCAAGUGAUUAGCAUGGAAUUAGGAUGAACUACAAGAAUAUUUCCUAAGUUAUUCUUAACUAUACAGUCUAGCAUAUCAUAGUUAGUGCAAUUAUACUUAACAAUCAUUGUGAGACAAGGUUACACCCAUGCAUAGCGAUAUUAUCAAGGUAAAUGAGAAACAUAGCAAUCACUCCCCUGUAAUAAUGUUGCUCUGCCAGCCCUAUACACGAGAGGGGGACUAUAUAAGAAUCAAUGAAGCUGUCACUAUCACGAACUACCCCACGAUCUGGCAUAUAGGGUACAAUCGCAGAUAAAUACGGUAUAAGCACCACGUCUACACAAUAUCUACCAUUUACCCAUGGAUCCGAUGGAUAAACGCUAUACGAUCCUAAACAUGUAUAUAAUUCCAAUCUAACUUAGCCAAGUAUAUAAGUAUGAUAAACUAAGAACAAUAUAAUUGCGAAUAUAAACAACUAGAGCAAAGUCAUAAUCAAUAUAUUGAAGUAGAACAAAGUCAUAUUCAUAAUACUGAAGAAAAAAGAUGAACAAUUGAAGAACAAUAGAGAAUUACCAAGAAUCCUCUUGACAGAUCCGGAAACUAAUCGAAGAUUGACUCCUUCUAGUUCUAAUCCUAUGUAGCUAUGCUAAUCUAGAUGUCUAAUUGAUGUGGUGGCUCUAGGCUUGAUCAGAGGCUUCUUCUCCCUUGAUGAAUAAUGAAUUAGGGUUGAGAGCUCUCUUCCUCCAGGGGCCAGGGGGUCUGGUUUUAUAGUCCUUCCAAGUGAAUAUGGGCCGUUGGAUCAAACGGACAUAGAUUGAAUGGUUGUCCUUGAUCCUUUAGGUCGGUGGAGCGUAAUCCCGAAAGAGAGUCCUGAUUGGACUCCAGCAGGGGGCGGGCGCCCUGGUCCCUAGGGCGGGCGCCCUGGGCCAGGCCCCGUUCUGCCUCCGCUUCGUUCCCGUGGCUUCUGGAGUCUUCUAGAUGUAAGAUAAUUGCGCGGCUCGUUAAUAUCUCUAUGUAAUCCCGACAUGUGGGCCUUUCUUCCGUAUUUCCUAAUAACCCCCUGCAGAAAUAGACAAACACCAAAACUCGUGGAAUUCUAUCAGAUAAAACCCUAAGUCUAGAUGUUGAUUUCAUUUGGAUCCUUUUCUUUGUUUAUUUCAUAAUUAAAUUUGAUACUUAAGGACCGUCAACAGGUGACACUUUGGUUGAACUAUGACACACCAUUCGAUACGACCACAAGGCUUCAUUUAACAAUGUAUGCCAUCUCCUAGGAUUUUCUUCAAUUUUCCACUUAAUGAGCUUAAUAAUUUCUUUGUUAGAAGCUUUGGCCUACCCAUUAGCUUGAGCAUAGUAAGGAGAAGAAUUCAACACCUUAAUCCCCAUACCAAUUGCAAACUCAUCAAACUCCCCUGAUGUAAACAUAGUACCCUGAUCGGUAGUAAUUGUUUGGGGAAUACCAAAUCCUUAAACAAUAUGCUCCUUUACAAAUCAAUCAUAUUAGCCGAUGUUACUUUCUUCAAGGGAAUAGCCUCAACCCACUUGGUGAAAUAAUCAGUGGCAACUAAGAUAAACUUAUGGCUUUUGCUUGAUGGUGGAUAAAUCUGACCGAUGAGAUCAAUAGCCCAUCCACAGAACGACCGAGGUUUGAUAAUAGGAUUCAUAGCCGAUGCGGGCGCCGUUUGGAUGUUGCCAAACUUUUGACAUCCUUGACAUCCUUUGAAAUAUUUAAAGCAAUCUUCAAGUAUUGCCAGCCAAUAAUAUCCAUUCCGCCGAGUCAUCCAUUUCAUCUUAAAAGAUGAUUGAUGUGCUCCACACACUCCUUCAUGAAUUUCACCCAUCAAGCUUCUAGAUUCAUCAUCACCCAAACACUUAAGCAAGACUCCAUCGAUCGUUCGGUAAUAUAACUCUUCCUCGAGGAGUACAAACUUUGUAGGUUGAAACCUAACAGGCCUCUCAACCUUUUUGGAUGGAUCUUUUAAAUAAUCAAUAAUUUCUUUCCUCCAAUCAUCAGCACUGUGUGCCGAUAAUAUGUCCAAGAUGGGUUGAUAUCCUGAGGCAUACUGAGCCAAUCGGUUGGCUUCUUCAUUAUGUAACCGAGGAAUAUGCUCUAAUCAGAAAUCUUUGAAUUCCUUCAAUAGUUGUACACAUCUUUCAUAAUAUGCUAUCAAAACCUCACUUCGGCAUUCAUAACUUCCAGCCAACUGGUUUAUAACAAGCAUAGAAUCACCAAAAAGUUCAACAGCAUCAGCAUGGACCUCCUUUAAUAACUCCAAUCAUUUGAUUAAAGCUUGGUACUCAGCUUGAUUAUUUGUCGACGUGGCAACAAUCGGUAAAGAAAACUCAUACUUCUUUCCCCGAGGAGAAAUUAGAACUAUACCGAUUCCUGCCCCCCGAUCGCAUGUAGAUCCAUGAAAGAAGAGCGUCCAAGGAGCAAUUUCCAAAGCAUCCACCCCACCACAAUGCUGAGUUACAAAAUCGGCCAUAAUCUGCCCUUUAACCGCUUUAGCCGAUUCAUAGCGUAGAUCAAAUUCCGACAAUGCCAAUAUCCACUUGCCGAUUCUACCGCUCAUAAUUGGCAUUGAUAACAUGUACCGAACUACUUCAUCUUUGCACACAACGGUGCACUCAGCCGAUAGCAAGUAAUGUCUCAAUUUGACACAAGAAAAGUAUAAGCAUAAGCAUAAUUUUUCAAUGGCCGAAUACCUUGUCUCAGCAUCUACCAAUCUUCUGCUUAGAUAGUAAAUUACAGGCUCCUUUCCUUCAAAUUCUUGAAUGAGAGCUAAACCGAUGACCAUAUCAUCGGUAGACAAAUAUAAUUUGAAGGGCUUUCCUUGUUGAGGUGGAACCAAAACACGAGGAUUUGCCAAAUAAUUCUUGAUUUUAUCCAAGGCUAAUUGUUGCUCCUUUUCCCACACAAAUUCUUGAUCGGCUUUUAACUUGAGCAAAGGGCAAAAAGCAUGAAUCUUACCUGACAAAUUAGAUAUAAAUCGUCUGAUAAAAUUAAUUUUGCUGAUCAAUGAUUGAAGUUCAGUUUUAUUGGUGGGAGCAACUAUUUUGUUGAUGGCAUCAAUAGAUCUCGUACUAAUUUCAAUUCCUCUUUGAUGCACCAUAAAACCAAGAAACUGCCAUGCCGAUACACCAAAUGCACAUUUAUUAGGGUUUAUUUUCAAACCAAGAAACUUUCUUUGUCACCUUUCGCAGAUCGACCAGAUGUUUUAUAAAAUCCCCAAACUAAACCACCACAUCAUCAAUAUAGAUAUCUACCAAUUUUCCGAUGAACUCGUGGAAGAUAAAAUUCAUGGCCCUCUGUUAAGUAGCACCAGCAUUUUUCAAACCAAAAAUCAUAACUAUCCAUUCAAACAAUCCAACAUGACUAGGACAUCUAAAUGCAGUCUUGGGAAUAUCCUCUUCAGCCAUGAAUAUUUGAUUGUAUCCUGCAUUGCCAUCCAUAAAACUAAUGAUCCAAUGCCCAGCUGCAGCAUCAACCAACAAAUCGGCAACUGGCAUUGGAUAACCAUCCAUCGGCGUAGCUUUAUUGAGAUUCCUAAAGUCGAUACAAACACGAAGCUUUCCAUUCUUUUUAUAGACAGUGACAACAUUGGAAAUCCAUUCGGCAUACCGACACUGCAGAAUAAACUUAGCUUCAAUAAGUUUGGUUAUUUUGGCCUUAAUAUCAGGAAGAAUAUUAGGAUUGCAUCGGCGGCCGAAAUCCAGACUUAAUAGGCAACCGGUGUUCAACAAUUGAUCGGUCUAAACCACGCAUCUCAGUAUAAUCCCAAGCAAAGCAAUCUUUAUAUUCCUUUAACAGAUCGGUUAAUUGUUGCUUACACUCAGAAUCUAACUUAGCACUAAUAAAAGUAGGUCUUGGUCUUUCACCAUUACCUAUAUCUACUUCUAUUAGAUCAUCAGCCGAUGUAAACCCCUGACCUGACUUUCCAUCAUCGGCAAACCUAUCCAUUAAAACUCUUCAUCAGAACCGACUACUUGGAUCGGUGGAAUUUCAUAAUCGGCAACCUUGAGAAAAUCUUUCUCCCAAACUUCUCCUGAAAUGCAUCUGGUUCUCUCAUAAGUAUCUGACUCUGCCGAUGCUAUCACAUAUGAAGAAUCUCCCAGAACAAUCUCAAUUUUGUCACCUACCCACUGAACAAGACAUUGGUGCAUUGUAGAAGGAAUACAACAAUUGGCAUGGAUCCAAUCUCUUCCCAGCAGUAAGUUGUAUGCACCUUUUCCACUGAUAACAAAGAAAGUUGUCGGCAAGGUUUUGCUGCCGAUAGUCAAUUCAACACUUAUAGCCCCCUUAACUGGAGACACAUUCCCUUCAAAAUCUUUCAACAUCAUAUCGGUCUUGGUCAAAUCUUGAUCUCCUUUGCCAAGUUUCUGAUAUACCGGAUACGGCAUAAUAUUGAUUGCAGCCCCUCCAUCAAUGAGUAUCUUGGAAAUCGGUUGCCCAUCAACCCUGCCUUUGACAAACAGAGCCUUAAAAUGUUGUCUUUCAUCAUCGGAAGGUUUCUCCAAGAUAGCCGUCAUUGGAUCAAGAGCCAACUGAGCUGUUUGGUCAGGGAAAUCUACCCCCUCAUCAUCACUGAAAGGUGCAACAAACUCCAUCAGCAACAUAAACAGCAUGUGUAACAUCGGCGGAUGGUCCUUUUCCCUUGGGAUUUGAUUGCUGCCGAUUCUCUAACUUAGAAGAACUUUCUUCCCUUCUUAAUUCUUCUAGCCUCUUGUUGGGUAUUUUAAACGCAAACAGAAAAAUCCGCAAGCGCACGGAUACCGAUGUAGCCUUCACCCGGGAGUAUUCGAGAGUAUCGAUUUUCCACAGGGAACGUGAGUGUACUAAUUAAGAUCCAAGAUCGCCCAAGGAUAACUAUAUAAUUAUUUUUGGUGGGAAGAGAGGAAGUUUCCUGAGAGUUCUCUAGUUGAUCUAAGAAUCAAGAAUUACUUCAAGAUUAUCUAUUUCGGGACAUCAGAGCACUAACCACAGAAAGUGAUGAGAAGGGGGCUAGGAAGGUCUGACUACGGUCCUACAAACACGGAUCCGAACAUGGUGGAAUACGUCGACCAUUAGGGCUGUCACUACCCUAGGGCUACCACAACAAUCCGCAAGAUUGGGUGCAAUUCCAGGUAAUUGCAAGACUAAACUCCACGUCUAAUCUAUCAAUUACUACUCUAGCGUUAUAAAGACUAGAGCACUUGAUGCAAGCGGAAAUCCAAUAAAUAACUUGAAUGUAAAUAAAAGUAAUUAAAGAACUCAGGAAUUAUGAAUUGAAGAACUUGGAGAACGAUGAAGAAUGAACCAGUUGCUGCAAAAGUAUAAUGUUGAGGAAGAUCCGACAGACCCGGCUCCUCCUCCGCUCUCCUCUUCUCUCUCCCUAUUUUCUAGAUUACAACUAGAACUAACUAGAACUAGAACUAGAGGAACUAGAACUAGAACUAGAUGAACUAGAACUAGAUCUAGAUGAACUAGUGGUAGAACUAGAAGAACUAGAGGGAUCCUCUCUACUUGGAUGAAGAAUUGAAACCCUAGCUUCGAUUCUGUAGAAGAGGUAUGCUCUCCAGGGGCCAGGGGGCCUUGCUUAUAUAGUCUUUUCAGAUGAAUCUGGGCUGUUGGAUCAAACCGACAUUGAUUGAACGGUUAUCCUUGAUCCUUUAGGUCGGUGGAGCAAUAUCCCAAAAGAGAGUCCUGAUUGGACUCUAGCUGAGGGCGGGCGCCCAGGAAAGGAGGGCGGGCGCCCUGUCCCUGAGUCCUCUCGGCUUCUCGUUCGUUCCCGUGGCUUCUGGAGUCUUCUAGAUGGUAGAAAAUUGCGCAACAUGUUAAUAUCUCUAUGUAAACCCGACGUGUGGGCCUUUCCUCCAUAUUUCCUGAUAACCCCCUGCAGAAAUAGACAAACACCAAAACUCGUGGAAUUCUGUCAGAUAAAACCCUAAGUCUAGGUGUUGGUUGCAUAUAAGUCCUUUUCCAUGAUUAGUUGAUGGUUAAAUGUGAGCAUUAAGGACCGUCAACAAACUCCCCCAAGCUUAACCUUUGCUCGUCCCUGAGCAAAGAUGAACUCAAGAGUUUCUGUAGUGGUUUCAUGCCUUAAAGAUAUACAUGCAUUCAAACAAGAUCUCAUCUCUGGGUUAGGGUAAACUAUUAAGAUUUAAACUUACUCAUAUUACCUUCCACCAUGGGGCUUGCAACCAUCACUUGUGUCUUGAGCAGUUAAAAGAUAGAACGGUCUAAUCAAGCGCCAUGUCUCAUGUUCUUGAUCAACUAUAGCUCUGGAGUUUUUGCAGAUUUUCAAAUAAAACUUAGAGAUUCCUUGUAUGACUCUCUCUAGUCUCUCUUUUGUGGUAUUUCUGGAUCCUUACCAAGGCAGUAAUGGUGUAUGCCUUCUCUCAAAGUAUGUGGUAUUUUUGGUAUGAGGCAUAGUGACAUUGCCUUCUCUCUCACCCUACUCUAAUAAGGUUUUGAUAUCUGGAGCUCAUAGGUGGGAGACAGCUAAUACAUACUUACAAGACAAUUAUUGCAUAGUCAAACCAUAGAUCCAGAAGAACAAGUCAAUAAGUCAAAUCAAGAUGUGCAUGUGUGGCGAAUGAAUGGUGUAUGGUGAUGAUGGUGAUAACAAUGGUGAAAGUCUAAUUGUACUUUUGCUCUUUUGAGGGGAUACAUACCUUUCUUGCUCUUUGAAACUUUUUGAGGAGAAUGAGAUGCUCUAUAUUUUCUUUUUUUUUUCUUUUCUCUCAGGUGGGUAUCUUGUACCCCUAAUUCUACUGUCGGACACUUGUCCAUUUUUACCUCUCGUCUCACUUUUUUUUCUUUUCUUUCGAGGUUUCGGGCACUUGCCCCUUUUUAUUUCCUCGUAUCUUUUUUUUUCUCUUUUUUAGAGCACUCAUCUCUUGAAAUAAUGUAGCAAGUGGUAGUAACCAAGAUAACUUGAGCAUUUAUUUCACAGGGAAACAGAAAUAGGAGAAUGUUUUUGGCUAUUCUCUCCCGGAUUAGGAGUAGAAUAUUUUUGGGUGGUUCUGGAGAUGGAAAUGGGUGGAUAUAUGUGGAUGCGUACUUCCGAAGUAGAAGCAGCAUGUGUGAGUGAACGUGCAAGUGAAUCUUGAUUUAUCCACAUGACAAGCUCCUAAGGGUCUACACACCUUGACCACACUCAAUGCUCAUAUGCAGUAAAAAGUAAAUGUGUGGCUCAAAGUCUAGCAAGCAUGUAUAUAUGGUUAUGGUAGGAAUUUAAACUCUCAUCAUACAGGAACUCAUCAUGCAACAUUUUAAAGAUUUUCGAAGAUAAAAUUCUCCAGAAUUCUAGCAUCUCUACGAACAGAUAAGCAGCAGCUCAACCUUCCCAUAUCGUAUCCGUUAAUGACUUAGACUUUAGAUCAAGUACUCUCCCCACAAGUUUUAGGUUAGAGCAAAUCUUAAUUAAUACCAAUCAUGCCUAAACUUGAGAGAGAUUUCAAUUUUGAGAACUAGUCAUGGCAGAGCAACUAUUCAUCAUUUCCAUAUGAGAGCUUAUCAUGAGGGUUCAUAGCAAACUUUAUUUAUUUAUUUAUUUAGCAAACUAAGCAAAGAUAUAUAUAUAUAUAUAUAUAAGCACAAAAUCUUUAUUUUGGUUCUUAUGAUUAUGCAUCAUUUUAUUAUUAGAGUAAAGUAUAAAUGUGAGUAGAAUACUUAGCUGGAUAAAUGGGGUGCUCUCCCCUAAGCUGGAUUUUGACGUAAUUUCUUCUGAUAUAGCUAGCAGGUGGCGGAGGUGUAUUUGAAUGUCGGCAACACCCUAACAGUGAUUAGGAUGUCCUCCGUCUGCUAGUCUUCUUUGAUCCUUGAAUUCUGUGGAGCUCAAAUAGACAACAAAGCUUUGUGGAACUGGUUAAGUGUUAGCAUAAAUAUCUAGCCUUUAUCAUGUUGAGCCUCCUCAAUAAAUGUUACUCUUUUUAGUAGGAUCACAAUCUUAUUUUUAUAUUUUCAUUUUUAUAAGAUAGGAAUAUAUUUAUUUUAUUUUUAUGCCACCACAGUGAAUGUACUUAUGGGUUUUAUGCCAUGAGCAUACUCACAUGGGGCUUACUAUUUUUAACAUUUUUAUUUUCUUUUCAAGAUAACAUUAACCUGAUUAACUAAGCAAACUAUUUUAAAUAAUUAAAAGGAAAAGGAUAACUACCAAGUUUACCUCUUGGCAAGGGAUUCGGUGUUUUUAAGUCCUCCGAACGGGACUCUCCGUUUUCUUAAUCGUCCUAGGAUUCGCUGAAUGGCGUAGUCGGUGGUUCCGGCGGCGCCUUACCACUUCUCCUUCAUAGUCUGCCCAUCCGUCCUUGAUGAUUUGCCUCCUCUAGUUGUGGUUGCGUUGUCUUCUUCUUGUCCUAACCUGCUUAGAGUCUUCAACUAUAUAGUUAAGAUCAGUAAAAUAGCAGCGUACCUUCUCAGAGAGGAAGUGCAUGUGGACUUCUCUGGUUCCAAUGUAGAUGAUUGCUUUAACAGUGCUGAGGAACAGUCUCCCAAGGAUGAUGGGUGGAUCGUACUUGUCUUCUCCCAUGUCAAUGACCUUUCGGAAUGUCUAAUCUUCCAUCUGGAGCUGAAUAUAUGUCGGUUUUAGGGGCAUGGUUCCGAAUAGGAGCUGAUAGGUCACUGGGUCGUCCUUUUUGGUCAGGAACGGUGACUUAAGUCGACGAUCUUGACAUCCUUGAACUGCAGUGACCAUCUUAGCUAACUUGGACCACAUUUUCUUGUUUUUGUUCCUCCUGUUGGUCCUCUUCCUUGCUUCAUGUCGGGAUUGCUCUGAGAUUUGUGUAAUCUUGUUCUCGAAGGAAAACGUCUCCUUCUUCCCCUUGAUGUAGAAACUGAUCCUGGCAACACUAGCGUAGAUGACAGCUCCCGAGGUGUUCAGGAAUGGCCUCCGUAGAGGUUCUUCAAUAUUCCCUUUGGGAGACUUAGUGUCCGAUCUACAAGCCUAGGCAUAAUGUUGACGCUGGAGCCAAAGUCGCAGAGUGCUUCUGGGAAGUCCACCAUGCCAAUGGAGAUCGAGAUGACAGGGCAUCCUGGAUUGCCUCUCUUGACUGGCAGAAGGUUAGUAAUUACUUCCACAACGGGGUUACUCCAGUAGUUACGUUCUCAAGCAUCUUCGGGCAGUGAUUGCCUGAGUGUCCAGUAUCUCCAGUGUGUUUGGGCUCGUAGAUCUAGGUUCUUCACUUGGUGGAGUCUGGGAGUUGAAAAAGUCCUUCAUAGUUUGCUUGAAGUGUACCUGCUCAUAGAGACAAGGCAGAGAUCAAGUGCGUGGGCCCUGUUGGUGGAAAACACCAACAGAACCAAAAGUGUAUUUAUUCUUCUCUAACCUUAAGCAUAGUGAGCAAGACAAAGUUGACGGAUAAUAAGAUCAUGAGUGUAGCAUGUAAAACAUUUGUC